This 468-nucleotide ribosomal RNA is filed under the name uncultured bacterium. Its description in RNAcentral is "partial 16S ribosomal RNA". It matches the Rfam family "Bacterial small subunit ribosomal RNA", at positions 28 to 507 of the family's 1533-position model. The record is from RNAcentral.
GAUGAACGCUGGCGGCGUGCCUAAUACAUGCAAGUCGAACGAACAGACGAUGCUCUUGUGGGUUUGACGUGAGGGGCGGGCGUGUGAGUAACGCGUGUAUAACGUACCUGUAAUAGGGGUAAAACUUGGGAAAACGGGAUCUAAUACGAUAGGAUAUAUUGCAGCGCGGUGGGCAAUGGUGAAAUUCGGUGGUGCGGGCUGGAAUAGAGGGUUACCAGCUUGUUGGUGGGGUUGUGGCUUUCCAGGGUUGUGACGGCUAGGCGGCCUGAGAGGGUGACCGGCCACAGUGCGACUGGGAUACGGCCCAGACUGCUACGGGAGGCAGCAGGGGGGAAUAUGGCACAAUGGGCGGAAGCCUGAUGCAGCAACGCCGCGUGCUGAAUGACGGCCUUCGGGUUAUAAACCGCUUUCGCCUGUGACGAAGCGUGAGUGACGGUAAUGAGUAAAGAAGCACCGGCUAACUACGUG